This is a non-coding RNA of Podarcis lilfordi (Lilford's wall lizard), 15636 nucleotides long. The record is from the annotation of a GenBank genome assembly. Lineage: Eukaryota; Metazoa; Chordata; Lepidosauria; Squamata; Lacertidae.
CUCAUGCUGGUAGCUUCGAGAACACUGUCCAACCAUCUCGUCCUCUGUCGUCUCCUUCUCCUUGUGCCCUCCAUCUUUCCCAACAUCAGGGUCUUUUCCAGGGAGUCUUCUCUUCUCAUGAGGUGGCCAAAGUAUUGGAGCCUCAGCUUCACGAUCUGUCCUUCCAGUGAGCACUCCGGGCUGAUUUCCUUCAGAAUGGAUAGGUUUGGUCUUCUUGCAGUCCGUAUGGAAAUGCUGUGGACACCCUCAAAGAUAAACCUGCAAAUGUACCAGCUGUUCUAUUUAAAGACUCGGGGGCUGAGGAGGGGCACAACCUGAUAAGGCAAGUUUGGUCACCUGUUCUGCAUUACUAAAAUAAUUGCUUGAACUUCCAACAUAAGGUGACUAAAACGAGGACAAAAAUUGACUUAGAUGAAGCAGCGCUACUCCGGUUUGGUGGAACGAAUCUGGAACACCUCCAGUUGCUAUAAAUAGCCUAUAUGUCUGACGCAUUUCAACAUUUUAUGGCUAAAGGAUCACCACAGCAUUAGGCAAAAAAAUCCCUGUUGUUGGAAAUUACAAAUAAUUAGGCUUAUUUUUUCUAGAAACCACUAGCAGGAUAGGAGAUUUGUGAGCCACACAAGCAGAUCUUGCUUUGGCAUUUCCUAUUGGCUAGAUCUGCAGAGACCAAAAGGAAGUAUAGGAGCCUUUUUGCUGCCACCUGCUGGAAGGAAUACAUAGUAUUUGCUACUUUCACCUGUUGGCUGAAAUGUUUGCAAUGCACCCAAUUUGGUGCCGCCGCCUACUGGAACAGUCUGUGUUGCAAUACUCUCAAAUUUUGCCUCUUUGUGGAAAAUGCAAGCAAUCCCACCUCACUGGCUUGCAUUCUUGAAUUAAAGGUAAAGGUAAAGGGAUCCCUGACUAUUAGGUCCAGUCAUGACCGACUCUGGGGUUGCGGCACUCAUCUUGCUUUAUUGGCCGAGGGAGCCGGCAUACAGCUUCCAGGUCAUGUGGCCAGCAUGACUAAGCCGCUUCUGGCGAACCAGAGCAGCGCACGGAAAUGUCGUUUAACUUCCCGCCGGAGCGGUACCUAUUUAUCUACUUGCACUUUGACGUGCUUUCAAACUGUGAGGUUGGCAGGAGCAGGGACCGAGCAACGGGAGCUCACCCCGUCACGGGGAUUUGAACCGCUGACCUUCUGAUUGGCAAGUCUUAGGUUCUAUGGUUUAACCCACAGUGCCAGCCGCGUCCUUGAAUUAGCUGUGAGUAAUUCACAGCUGUGAGUAAGGCAAAAGAGCAUAGACUUCCACAUGCACAUAUAGACCUAGGGAGGAGGCAGGUAGCUUUGAACUAGGGUCAGUUUGUGGCUUUGUCUAUGAUGCUAGGUGAUGUUGCUGUCAUUUCAUAAAUAUUAUUUAUCGUAUUUUGGGAAGGGAAGGGAGAAGAUUGGGAUCCCAGCUUUUCCAGGGUGGGGACUUGAUCCAGUACUGAAUAUAAAAAAGGUAAAGGACCCCUGACAGUUAAGUCCAGUUGCAGAAGUGUCUGGGGUUGCAGCACUCAUCUCGCUUUACAGGCCAAGGGAGCCAGCGUUUGUCCGCAGACAGUUUUUCUAAGUUAUGUGGCCAGCAUGACUAAGCCGCUUUUGGCGCAACGGAACACCGAAACCAGAGCAGUGCACGGAAACGCCAUUUACCUUCCUGCGGGAGUGGUACCUAUUCAUCGACUUGCACUUUUUUGGCGUGCUUUUGAACUGCUAGGUUGGCAGGAGCUGGGACCGAGCAACAGGAGCUCACCCCGUUGCGGGGAUUCGAACCGCUAACCUUCUGAUCGGCGAGCACAAGAGGCUCAGUGGUUUAGACCACAACGCCACCCGCGUCCCUAGUACAGUCAUACCUCGGGUUACAGAUGCUUCAGGUUGCGCAUUUUCGGGUUGCGCACUGCGCCGAACCCGGAAGUACCGGAAUGGGUUACUUCCAGGUUUCAGCACUUGCGCAUGCACAGAAAUACUAAAUCAUGCUUUGCGCAUGUGCAGAAGCGUUGAAUCGCAACCCGCGCGUGCACAGACGCGGCUCUGCGGGUUGCGAACGUGCCUCCCACAUGGAUAAUUUAAAAAAUUGUGGCUUUCCCCCCACAGCAUCUGCAUUUCAUUGGCAUAAAACUGCCAACCUUUAUCCCCUUUCCCACCAUAUAAUCUGGAUUUCCUCUUUCUGGGAGAAAUCUGAUAAAGAAACACACAUACACCAUGUGAUCUCUCAACGACCUGUUUGCAAAUUUAGCCUCUGUCUGGAAGCAACACAUUUGGGAAUCUUACCAAGCUACUAAAACGUUUAUGAGUGCUCUUAACACAGAAUAAGACAACUGAAUGUUGGUUCCAUUAUGCAUGAAAAUAACUUCAAAAGUAGACUUGCCAUAGGUCAGGAAAAGUCUUGGCAUGUUGUGGUGUUCGGGUGUAAAAAUGGCCAAACGUCAGGGAAACCUAGCUGUCAACUUUUCCCUUUUUUAAAGGGAAAUUCCCUUAUUCCGAAUAGGAUUCCUCGCAAGAAAAGGGAAAAGUUGACAGCUAUGCAGGGAAAACCUGGAUGUAUAGCAACAUGAUGGGGAAAAAAGCAGAAAUAUGGCAAUCCUAUUCAAAAGACACAAUUUGGAAGGCAGGGAGAGGCCAAUGAAUAUUCGUGGUAUUUGCUUGUUCUAUUCGUUUGCUGUCAGAUAUUAGCUAUCUAAAGGAAGCUGAUUCAAAAGUUCUUGUGGGCAACUCCAGAAAAGAUUGAAGCAAUCUGCUGAUUUGAAAAGCUCUGGUUAAAAAUCCAGCCAAAAAUCAAAUUCAGAAAGAUCAAUUUUUAUUUUUUUAAUGAUCUUUAUUAAGGUUUCAAAAGAAGGAUACAUAAAUAAGAAAGAGAAAAAUAGAAAAAAGAAAAAUACAAAAUACAAAAAAAACCAAUUAAAAACAAUUCCAUCUUUUCAUCACUUCUCUUACAUUUACUUGUUUCCCGGACCUCCUCAUACCUCCCUUUUUUGUAUUCCAGUUCAAUUUAUUAGUCCAGCAAUUCCUUUCCCUCCUUUUUAAUCCUGAUCUUUAGUCUUAAUAUAUUAUAGCAUGAGGUUUUUACGUAUUGAAAAUCCAAUUUUUCCAUAUUCUUUUAUACCAUUACAGCUAGAAACCACUUGACUUCAAUCCAACAUCAUUCUAACAUUCAUUAAUUUUACAAUAUUUCUGUAAGUAGUCUUUAAAUUUCUUCCAAUCUUCUUCCACCGACUCUUCUCCCUGGUCUCGGAUUCUGCCAGUCAUUUCCGCCAAUUCCAUGUAGUCCAUCAUUUUCAUCUGCCAUUCCUCCAGUGUGGGUAGAUCUUGUGUCUUCCAAUGCUUUGCAAUAAGUAUUCUUGCUGCUGUUGUAGCAUACAUAAAGAAAGUUCUAUCCUUCUUUGGCACCACUUGGCCGACUAUGCCCAGGAGAAAUUAAUAAUAAAUUCAGAAAGAUCUAGAUUUGAUUAAUAUGGUGCACUAGGAGAAGUCGGCACAAGGACUUCCACUAGAGCAAAGGGGCUUUCCCAGCCUUUCCUCCCCCAACACACCCCCACGCCUCCCCUCAAAUCCAAUCUGGACAGCCAGGAGAACCUGCAAAACAUAACUGGGGAGGACGAGAGCAUGGAUCAUUCUGUCUGGCAAGGAUUGUGGUGACAGAACAAUCCAAAUAAUGCAGCAUUGAAUUCCUCCCAUAAUUUUUUCCAGGUGGAAAAAUCAAAAUUAGAAAUAGAACUGUUAGAACCCAAAACUAAGAUUCUGUCAAAGAUUUAUAACUUGCUGUUGAAAUGAAAUACUCAGGAUGAAACGGUGAAAUCUUCUAUGAUUAAAUGGGCACAAGAUGUUGGACAUAACAUAAUGAUGGCUGACUGGGAACAGUUAUGGACCACAGGUAUGAAGUUUACGGCAUGCAAUGCCUUAAGAGAGAAUAUUAUGAAAAUGAUAUACAGGUGGUACAUGACCCCAGUCAAGCUUGCAAAAAUCUAUCAUUUGCCCGAUAAUAAAUGUUGGAAAUGUAAAGAAGCUGAAGGUACAUUCUUUCACCUUUGGUGGACGUGCCCAAGGAUUAAGGCUUUCUGGGAGAUGAUCUAUAAUGAAAUGAAAAAGGUAUUUAAAUAUACCUUCUUGAAGAAACCAGAGGCCUUUCUCCUGGGCAUAGUCGGCCAAUUGGUGCCAAAGAAGGAUAGAACUUUCUUUAUGUAUGCCACAACAGCAGCAAGAAUACUUAUUGCAAAGUAUUGGAAGACACAAGAUCUACCCACUGUGGAAGAAUGGCAGAUGAAGGUGAUGGACUACAUGGAACUGGCGGAAAUGACUGGCAGAAUCCGAGACCAGGGAGAAGAGUCGGUGGAAGAAGAUUGGAAGAAAUUUAAAGACUAUUUACAGAAAUAUUGCAAAAUUAAUGAAUGUUAGAAUGAUGUCAGAAUAAAGUUAAGUGGUUUUAGCAGCAAUGUCUUAAAGGUCUAUGUAAAAAUGGAUUGCUAAUAAGUGAGAAUCUAAAGUUAUAAUAUAUUAAUUUAAAGAACUAAGACAAUAAUAAAGAGGGAAAGGAAUUGCUGAAUUAACCAACUGAACUGGAAUACAAAAAAGGGAGGUGAGAGGAGGUCAGGGAAGUAAGGAAAUGAAAUGUAAGAUACGGAAGGAUUGAUUUGUUUUUAAGUGUUUUUUUAUCUUUGUUUUUUCUGUACUUUGUAUUUUGUAUGUUUUUUCUUUUUUUCCUUUUUUUCCUUGUUUCUUUUCUCUUUAAUUAUGUAAUUUUUUGUUUUUGAAAUUUUAAUAAAUAUCAUUUAAAAAAAAAAAGAAUUCCUCCCAUAAUUUUAUUUAUGCCAUUUUUGCAUUCAGCCCCCACUCCCUCUCUUGGGGUACCAUGUGCUCUAGCUAGAGAUUCUAUGUUAUUAGAAAUUCAGUGGGCCCUGGAGUCACAGCCCCUUAAUCAACUGUUUUGUGUGCGUUAUGCACACAAAUAUGACAUAUAUGACAAUAAAUCUUCCUCCUGUGAAGGGAUGGGCAAAUCUAUCAGUGUUGGUUUCUCCCAGUUUCUCAUUUUUCCAAAUUUAAGUUCUCCACAUUUCCACAUCAGUUAGCAAUUUUUUAAAAAAUAAUCCUCAUAAAAUUUGUCGACAGCAUCUUAGUGUGAUUUUCUCCUUAGGUGUACAUUUUUGUAGGCAACGCUUUUUGCAUGUUAUGUUCAGAAAUAUGUGGUUUUCUUUUCACACUUUGCCAGAAUAUAUGCAUUUUUGUACAUAUUACUUGGCAGGAGACCUGCGCUGCAAAAUUUGCAGAAGGGCACAUUUCCAAGGAUGGAUGAUGAAGAAGAAGAGCUUGGAUUUGAUAUCCCGCUUUAUCACUACCGGAAGGAGUCUCAAAGCGGCUAACAUUCUCCUUUCCCUUCCUCCCCCACAACAAACACACUGUGAGGUGAGUGGGGCUGAGAGACUUCAGAGAAGUGUGACUGGCCCAAGGUUACCCAGCAGCUGCAUGUGGAGGAGCGGAGAUGCGAACCCGGUUCCCAAGAUUACGUGACUACCGCUCUUAACCACUACACCACACUGGCUCUCCAGUGUGUUUGUGUUUGUGUUUUAUUUCAGAAAGUGUAGAUUAGGAAGAUUUGCCUUUAAAUGUAAACUGAACUGAAUUUUGUUUCGGCAAAUAGAUUCAUGUUAUACCAGAGAUUAUUCUGCACUCCUGAACUCUGGAUCUUCCGAGAUGCUCUGUUUUGUACCCCUACCUAGGACCCUCGUACCUACGGGGCCGCCUCUCCUGGUAUGCCCCACGGAGAGCCUCAAGGUCCAUAAAUAGCAACAACCUAGUGGUCCCGGGCCCUAAGGAAGUUAGAUUAGCUUCAACCAGAGCCAGGGCCUUCUCAACACUGGCCCCGGCCUGGUGGAACGCUCUGCCUCAUGAGACCAGGGCCCUGCAGGAUCUGAUUUCUUUCCGCAGGGCCUUUGGCCUGGCCUUUGGCUUGGAGCCAAUUUGAUUCCCACCCCUCCCCCUCCCCCUCUUUCUUUUUCCUUUCUCCUCCUGUGAUGAGGCUGCAUUUUAAUAUUUUAAUGUUUCAAUAUUUUAAUGUUGUAUUUUAAUCUUGUUUUUCAGUUGUAUUCAUUCAACUUGUUUAUUGCUUGUUAGCCGCCCUAAGCCCAGCCUUGGCUGGGGAGGGUGGGGUAUAAAUAAAAAAUAUUAUUAUUAUUAUUACCUACAGCCCUGAAAGCUAAAGCUUUAUGAACCUAUAUUUUCUCCUACCAACGUGGCAAUGAAUCAUGAAAAUGGCUCAGAAUGAAGCCCAGCACUGAAAAACCCAACCCUAAUCCUCCCUUGAGUGUAGUAUUCUACAGAAUUGCACACAAAUUUAUUUAUUUAUAUUUUUUAUUUUUAAAGAACUUGCCAUUUGCUUUUCUGAUGUUUCAGGAGAACGUUUCUUUUCUCGCAGGGCUUGGCAUGAAGUAAUUAAGAAAUAAUGAUCAUACUGUGAAAAGUCUAUCUACACAUACAAAAAUUGAUUGCUGCUGGGGGGAGGGUUACCCGCUAAUGUCAACAAGAAACUGAGUUAAAAACUGAAACAGGCAUCAGUAUAAAUGUAUGGGCAAAGGGUAACCCAGAUACAGUAGAUCCACAUGUGUGCUUUAAAAAGAAAGAAAGCAGUAGCUGCUACUGAUAUAGGGUUUUUUUAAUUUAAAACCCCACUUUAACUUUCCCUGAUUCAUCCAAACACAGUGAUAAAGGUAAAGGUAAAGGGGACCCCUGACCAUUAUGUCCAGUUGUGACCGACUCUGGGGUUGCGGUGCUCAUCUCGCUUUAUUGGCCGAGGGAGCCGGCGUACAGCUUCCAGGUCAUGUGGCCAGCAUGACUAAGCUGCUUCUGGAGAACCAGAGCAGCUCACGGAAAUGCCGUUUACCUUCCCACCAGAGCGGUACCUAUUUAUCGACCUGCACUUUGGCAUACUUUGGAACUGCUAGGUUGGCAGGAGCAGGGACUGAGCAACGGGAGCUCACCCUGUUGCGGGGAUUCGAACCGCCGACCUUCUGAUUGGCAAGUCCUAGGCUCUGUGAUUUAACCCACAGCACCAGUUGCAUAAGUAAACCCCCAACUACAUGCGUCUUCACUUUUAUCCUGCACUUUUUAGUGAAAUUUCCUUUCCCUUUCUUUUCCUUUCUUUCCCUUUCUUUCCCUUUCUUUCCCUUUCUUUCCCUUUCAAAGAAGGAGUCUCCUUCUUUGGAGGUCUUUAAGCAGAGGCUUGACAACCAUAUGUCAGGACUGCUCUGAUGGUGUUUCCUGCUUGGCAGGGGGUUGGACUCGAUGGCCCUUGUGGUCUCUUCCAACUCUAUGAUUCUAUUCUACUGUAAAAAAGUAUGAUUUGUUUUGGAAGCAGACUAGUUGCCCAGAAGCACCAAACUGGCUCUAAUUGCACAACCUGAAUUGGGGGGGGUCAUCUGUUUGAAUCCCUCCCACAAAACAGCAACAGUUCACACACCAGAGAUGAGGCACCUGCAGCCCUCCAGGUGUUGGGCUCCAAUUCCCAUCACCUCCAUCCAGCAUGACCUGUGGCCGUUCAUGAUGGCAUUUGUAGUCUAGCAACCUCUGCUGCUCCACAGAUUCCCUAUCUCUGCUGUGCACGAGCCAUACAAGUUAAGAAGGAAUUUUGUGGAGUCCAUACUGUUGCCAAGUUGCAUGUUGAGGACUGCACUAUUGUGACAUUCUCUGCAUGGGUGCUAUACCCAUGUGUGGAGAAAUGCCCAUACAAUAUGACAGAGCUCUGUUAUUUCCUUUGCAACACAUGUACAUGAAGGAGAAUAGGAAGUCUGUGCAUAUGUAUAAUACCCUUCACAAUUUCUCCCUCCCUUCAGUCAGAGCUAAGAGCCUGUGCAUGCUGCAGGGUGGGGCAGGUGGGGGACAGGAAAAAUUGUCCCAAUAUGCCCCAUUGGGGUUAUUCUUAUGGGGUCCUAUCCUGAGUGGCUGCUGUUAUGGUUUCCCGAGAAAACACUAUUUUGAGGUGUGCAUGAGUCUCCCUACAUAUUUCACUUUUUAUUCAAAUUGAUUCCAACAAUCCUAAAAACAAAAUUUACACACUCAACAUCCUGCCCCCAAGAAUAACUUUUUAAAAAUUAAAUUAAAAAAACUAAACUGCAAAAGCAAGAAAAGAAGUGAAAGAGAAGCUAAAGAGUUUAUCAUUAAAAGCUUCCUCCAUCUGCCCAGUCAACCAUCAGCCUCCUCAGUUCCUUUCUUGGCACACAAGCCGAGAGGCCUGGUGGGCAGAAGUGCUGCAGGGAUUAAUUAGCUGGUGUUUUCAUUAAUAAUUAGUUCAAAAGUACACUGCAAAGGCGUGUAAUUAUUCCUUAGUGGAUAGAGUUGUUUUUUUAAAAGGUAAUGUUAAGAAAAAUCAGGAGGGGAAACGUUCAGAUGCUGUUGGGUUUCUUCUUCCCUCUCUUCCUUUUCUUCUUAGGAACAUAAAAAGCUGUCCUAUAACACUGGACUAUCUAGCACACUAUUGUCUAAUCCUGUGGUGCCCUUCAGAGGUCGUCAUACGACAACCUCCAUCAGCUUCUAGGUAGCAUAGCCAAUCGUCAGGGAUGAGGGGAGCAACAUCUGGUGGAGAGCACUACGCUGGCUUCUUCUUCUUUGGCGAUCACUUGUAGCCGAGUAAGAUUGUCUUCCAUAAACACGGUUUUAACAAUGAGUCCGUAAGUGACUGUGGAGGCCAAUUCUGGAUCCACACGUCCUUCCACAGUGGGGACAUUGGUUUCCCAGCGGGAGUUGAUCAUGGUGUGGAUUUACCAAGCAUGCCUUCCUCUUAGCAUGUUUCUCCCUUGCGUCCUGAGUUUGAGUGUCUUCAAAGUCCAUGACACCUUUGGUAAAGGCUGUUCUCCAACUGGAGCGCUCACAGGCCAGUGUUUCUCAGUUGUUGGUGUUUAUACUACAUUUUUUUAGAUUUGCCUUGAGACAGUCUUUAAACCUCUUUUGUUGACCACCAGCAUUACGCUUUCCAUUUUUAAGUUCGGAAUAGAGUAGUUGCUUUGGAAGUCGAUCAUCAGGCAUCCGCACAACAUGACCAGUCCAAUGAAGUUGAUGUUGAAGAAUCAUUGAAUCAGUGGGGAAACUCCCCACUGGGGUAGAAAUCAUAUAUCAAACAGAUGGAAAGCUCUUCAAUCUGAGCAGGCUGAAAGCAAAGAGUAAGGUUACCGUAAUUUCCGUCAUAGAGCUUCAGUAUGCUGAUGACAAUGUAGUGAGAGGAUGACCUCCAAACCAUCCUAAAUAUCUUCGCAGAAGUUUAUGAAAAGCUUGGCUUGUCGCUCACUCAACAUCCAAAAAACCAAAGGGCUGCAUCCAACAAGUACAAAAUAACCCCUCUGCAACACCACAAAUCCAACUCAGUGGUGUAACGUUGGAAAAUGUCAAUCACGUCUCCUACCUAGGCAGUUAUCUUUACCACGUUGGCUACCCUGGGAAUGACUGGCAGCUGCUCUGAAAUCACAGGUGGGGAGUAUGCUGUUGCAAUCUGGAGCUACUUGCAGGCUUCCCAUAGGCAUCUUGUUGGCCACUGUGAGAACAGGAUGCCACACCUGAUGGGAAGCUGGCUUAAGCCAGCAUGUUCUUCUUCCAUUCUUAGCUCCUGAAGUACGAAAAAGCCAUAAAUUAUGAGCGAGUGACAACCCUACAGUGCUAAAGCAGCAGCGAGAGGAGCAAGGAAGAUGUUGUAACACAAAACAAUUCCAGGUGCUGGAGACUGAUUCCUACAAAUCCCAGAGGAUGUGAUUGUUGUCAAUUUCUCCGUUGAAAAUGUGCAAUUUGUGUUUAUCCUGGAGGUUUGCCAUGCAGUUGGCAUUAAUCACUAUGAUGUGUCAUGUGGAUAAACUGUGCGAUAGCACAGUGCACCGAGGGGGAAAUUUUUGAACUGCUUAUGCUGUAUAUUUUCCUCAUCAAAGAAAGCCACAAUUGAUUCCAUAAUGGUUUCCCUUUCUCCCGCUGAAACUGCCUGCAGAAUUAAGUGGCUGCAAACUCCUGUCUCAAGGAAAUACGGAUCAAGGAUUCUAGGAAAGAAGGUAUGUUUCUCUGCCCAAUGGAUUGUCCUUUCCUUGCCUCCACUGUGCAUUCUUUAGGAGUUAACUGCGUUGAGGGGAGGAUGCAAUCAUAUUUAGCUUUUCAAAGAAUAAGAUUGCUGUGUCAUUCUGUUGAUGCCUCUAUUUUCCCUUGCUCUAAGUAGCAGCAUGUGUUCUGGAGCAGCUGCUAAACAGGAAACAUGACAGUCAAGCCUAGCAGCUGUACUCUCUCCCCCACGACUGCUGGAAUAGGAGAGUUAUAGCAGACGUCAGGCCGCAACAGGAAAUCAACUGAUGCCAGGGAAGUGUGCUUGCAGCAAAGUUUCCCUUGCUUCGUUAAAAUUGCCCCUGCUUAAAGGUUUUGAAGAAAAGCAAUGGCACACCUAGACAGCAUCUUAAAAAGCAGAGACAUCACCUUGCCAACAAAGGUCCGUAUAGUAAAAGCUAUGGUUUUCCCAGUAGUGAUGUAUGGAAGUGAGAGCUGGAUCAUAAAGAAGGCUGAUCGCCGAAGAAUGGAUGCUUUUGAAUUAUGGUGCUGGAGGAGACUCUUGAGAGUCCCAUGGACUGCAAGAAGAUCAAACGCAUCCAUUCUUAAGGAAAUUAGCCGUGAGUGCUCACUGGAAGGACAGAUCCUGAAGCUGAGGCUCCAAUACUUUGGCCACCUCAUGAGAAGAGAAGACUCCCUGGAAAAGGCCCUGAUGUUGGGAAAGAUGGAGGGCACAAGGAGAAGGGGACGACAGAGGACAAGAUGGCUGGACAGUCUUCUUGAGGCUACCAGCAUGAGUUUGACUAAACUGCGGGAGGCAGUGGAAGACAGAAGUGCCUAGCAUGCUCUGGUCCAUGGGGUCACGAAGAGUCAGACACGACUAAACGACUUAACAACAACAAAAGGUUUUGAUGGUUUUGUUUUGUGUUUGUUUUUUGCUUUAUCUAAAACACCUUUUCUUUCUGCUUGCGUUGCAGAUCUCUCUGAAACCUUAGCUUUGAUAUGUGUCUUUUCCAAGCAGUGCUCCGGCUACCAUGGCCAAUGGUUAGGGAUGGCGGAAGUUGUAGUCUAGCAAAAUCUGGCAGACCACAGGUUCCCCAUUCCUGGUGUAGACAACAAUGAAUGAGGUGGACCAGCAAUCUCACUCAGUAUAAAGCAGGUUCCUAUACUGAUGCAAUAAAACUGCAAUAAAACUCAGUUCCGCCUCCUCUCAGGUGGGCAUCAUUGCCAUUAUAAGAGAAUAAGGUAGCAUUCAUGGCGAGUUCUGGAACUUCUUUUUCUAGAAAAAUAGCACUGGGUACAACCACAUUUGGAAUACUGACUACAGUUCUGGUCACCUAACCGCAAAAGGGAUAUAGUAGAGUUGGAAAAAGGUUCAGAAAAGGGCAACCAAAAUGAACCCAUUUGAAGAAAGGUUGCAGCAUGUGGGAUUUUUUAGUUUAGAGAAAAGGUAAGAGGCAACAUCAUUAGGGUUGCCAUAUUUCAAAAAGUUGAAACGAGGAGCUCUUUUUUUUUUUUUAAGAAGACCUCAACAAACACCAAAAGGUUUCCCGCAGGUCUGAUCCAGCAGGUAAUUUUGGUUUACAAAGUUUUUAAACAUCCAUUAUUGAUUGCAGCACUAAUAGAGAACCAUCCAGUGCCAUGUGGAUGCAACUUGACCCACUGAAUUUAAUUAGAACUGAACCUAUCCAUGACUUGAUGAUGAUUAUAAUGGUACCAAUAAUAUAUCUAAUAAUAGCAAUGUUCAAUUAUUUUACAUACAUUUGAACUUUAGUAUCACAGUCCGUAAUUUUGGCAGUUCAUUUCUCUCUUACCUCAUCGCUUACUUUUUAAUAUACUACACACUUGUGUUUAUGUUUCUGGCAUCCUAGCAUAGCACUUUGUGCAUGUUAUGCUAUAAAAUUGUUAACUUUUAAGCACUGGCAGAGGAAGAGUUGUGCAGGGGGAGUGCACCGCCCCCGGCAGCGCGAUCCCGGCGGGGUGCCAUUGUGGCUGCCCCCCUGCCCACGCUGGGCACCAUGCCCCCAAGACGUGCACCAUGUCCCUACGGGCAGCUCACCACACCCCCAGGACACACGCCAACCCCGUCCUUGCCUGCUCUCCGCCCCCCGGUGCCGGAGCAUGAAGCUCCGCCACUGCUUCUAAGGCUGUUUUUGCAGCAACAUAAAUUAUUACCAGUCUGGAAUUUGAAAUAUCAGUUAAUUUGUGCCUCCUUCAUUUCCUCCACAACUUAAAUACUGCCUCUUGUUGAUAGUUAUUCAGACUAAUCGUGUUCUCUAGAUAUAUUUUUUUUGCUUUUGGAUAAUUUAAACCACAAUACCAUUUAAAGCAAACAAGAAUGGGGGCUGCUAAUGACUUUGGGGCAAGAUAGGAGCUUCUGCUUCAUUAAAUGUUCAAUGGGCACUUGGAUUUAAUUGCUCUUUAGAGGCUACUGGUUAUGCAUGCUGUGAAAGUGGGGGUGUGAGUUAAACCAACACAGAGGCAGGGAGAAAAAAUGCUAAUUGCUCAAGGGUGAAUGAACCCAUAAGCUACUUGGGGCUCUGAAAUACUUAAAAACCUCUGCAGAAGGUUGCAGAGGCAUCCUCAAGUGAAUUAAAACCAGGACGGGCAAGGCAUACUCAAAGGGACAAGUCCCACUGUGUUCAAUGGAGCUCACGUUCAGAAAAAGAGCCCUGCUAGAUCAGAGCAAUGGUUCAUUAAUCCAGCAUCCUAUUUCCCACAGUGGCCAACCAGAUGUCUCUGAAAGUUCACGAGCAGGAAACAAGGGCAAUCGCCCUUUACUGAGAACUUGAGUGAUGCAGAGAUUAAAUGUUGAAUCAGGGCUGGGGAGACCCAGGUUCCAACCCUGCUCAACCAUGAAGCAUACCAAGUGACCUUGACCCCAAUCACUAUCUCUCACUAUCUCUACAUUAGAGUUAUGAGGAUAAUGGGGGGGUGGGGUGAUGGAGGGAACCUUGCAUGCUACAUUGAGCUCCUUGGAGGAAUGGCAGGAUAUAAAAAUUAUUAUUGACUGUGUAUAGGAUCUAAGGAUCUCCAGAAGGCUAUGAAGAUCCGUUUCCGAUGGCAAUCUUUUUCAACUGGGAUGUUUUGUUUUGAACUAUUGAUGUUAUAGCAAUCACUGUUUUCAUUGAUAAAUGGAACAGCAUUAACUAUGAGUGGAUUGUAGUAGUUUUAUCUUUAUCUUUGUAUUGUUUGUAUCCUUAUAGUAUUAUGUAAACCUUCUUGGAAGAGUUGCAGUCAGAAAGGUGUCCUGUCAAUAUUUUUAUUGAUAUUUAUGUCUAAGUCAGCCGUGUGAAAACACGACUAGAGAAGCAGGAUUGCAACAAUAACAUACAGAUUUGGAAUCCAUAUUACAAACAUUUGGUAGAAAUCUAUCUAUCCAGUAGCUAGAAACAUAUAUGUACUGUAUCUAUCUAUGAAGAUACUGAACAUACUUACAGACUAUACAUAGGUGCACACAAAAAUAAAGGUAUUUAAAAAAAUUAAAAAAUAAGUCAGUUGGUUAGACUCACAUGAUCUUGUUUCACCCUCUAGUGGAAUAUCUGCACAUUGCAGAUUUUUCAAGGACCCUGAAUGUCAUUGUGUUUUAGGCUUCAAUCCUAUUCUGAAACCAAACCUCGCAGGAAGAUAAAAGUUUCCAUUCUGGUUGUAAAGUUUGAUAAAAUCCAUUUAAGAUCAAGCUUUAUAAAAUCUGGAGGCCAUGUUUGCCUUUCAGAAUUAGCAAGUUGGGAUGUCAGAUGUUGGCAUUUGUUGUUUAGUCGUGUCCGACUCUUCGUGACCCCAUGGACCAGAGUACGCCAGGCACUCCUGUCUUCCACUGCCUCCCAGUUUGGUCAAACUCAUGCUGGUAGCUUCGAGAACACUGUCCAACCAUCUUGUCCUCCAGGGAGUCUUCUGUUCUCAUGAGGUGGCCAAAGUCUUGGAGCUUCAGCUUCAGGAUCUGUCCUUCCAGUGAGCACUCGGGGCUGAUUUCCUUCAGAAUGGAUAGGUUUGAUCUUCUUGCAGUCCACAGGACUCUCAAGAGUCUCCUCCAGCACUAUAAUUCAAAAGCAUCAAUUCUUCGGCGAUCAGCCUUCUUUAUGAUCCAGCUCUCACUUCCAUAUUGCCUGGUAAUUUAGUAAAUGUAUGAAGUUUUGUAGCUUAUCUGAAAUUCAGUUAUACCAUUGUAUAUUUCUCAUCAUCUCUAGAACAGCAAAGUAUUAAUGUGAUAGCUGGUUCUUGUGUGUGUGUUUGUGUGUGUGUAUACUGUAUAUAUUCCUAAUAUUUACACAUCUUUAGGGCAGAGUGAUUUACAAAUUCAUCAAACAAAAUAACAAUCAGGAACAGCAUUCUUUAACUUCCUUAUUGAUGUUGAACAUUUUAUCCCACUCUUCACAGGAAAACAAAGAGGUGAACAACAAAUGCAAAUGACAUUUUUCUUAAAUAAAAAUGCACUAAUAGGAGACACGUGGAAGUGUUUUUUCCUGGACCGUCGUCCUGCUUCUCAAAAAUCGUUGUGAUAUCUAUCAGGUCGCAUGCGACACUGCCGUUUCACUUGCACGACAGGCUUCCCACUUGUGCAAGGCAACGUCCCCAACCUCUCUCCUUCGGCCCCCACCAGCAAGGACCCUCUGGGGCAGAUUCAAAGAAGAGGAAGUCCCCUUGUGCAAAUAGGAUGCUGCUCACAGAGCUUUGGAUGAACCCAUUAUCUCAUUAUCAGCUCUCUGAUUAUUAUUUUUUUGCCUACAUUAUGCAUUUAUUUAUUUAUUUAGUAAAUUUACAAACCAUUUGCUUGAAAAAAAAAUAUUUAGGUGGUGCCGAAGUCUAAUUAUACAUGUCCUGGCAUCCACCUGUCUCAGGAGGCAAUGGAAGAAUUUACGUUUUGGGGAUGAGAUCAAAUUUGGUACAGCACACAAACCAUUAUUAUAAUAAUUUAUAUACAGUGGUACCUCGCAAGACGAAUGCCUCGCAAGACAAAAAACUCGCUAGAUGAAAGGGUUUUUUGUUUUUUGAGCUGCUUUGCAAGACGAUUUUCCCUAUGGGGUUGCUUCGCAAGACGAAACGUCUUGCAAGUUUGUUUCCUUUUUCUUAACACCGUUAAUACAGUUGUGACUUGACUUCGAGGAGCAACUCAUAGAACGCGGUGUGGUAGCCUUUUUUGAGGUUUUUAAAGACUUUGGUGAUUUUUGAAGCUUUUCCAAAACUUUCCCGACACUGUGCUUCGCAAGACGAAAAAAAUCGCAAAACGACAAAACUCGCGGAACGAAUUAAUUUCGUCUUGCGAGGCACCACUGUACCGUCCUAUACCCGGAGGUCUCAGAGCAGUUCACAGAAUAAAAUCAAAAUAUAAAACCACAAAAUACAUAAUCAAAAUAAAAACAACCCAGUAAAUCCCCACCCCAAAAAAAUACCUUUUAAAAGGACAUAGGAUCCUCAAAUCAUUUAAAGUAAGACAAUUAACAAACCUUGACAAGAGCCACUAGUUGGAAAAAAACCAUGAUCUCAGAAAUGUUUGCAGCAAUAUUUAAAUGUUAUCAGCAAUAUAUACAAAAACCCCUACUUAAAAAAACAAAACAGAUAAAAUGUAUUAUUAUUAUUAUUAUUAUUAAUCGCCUAUAUGUGAACAUCUCAAGGUGAUGUAC